RNAcentral lists this ribosomal RNA (110 nucleotides) under Oryzias melastigma (Indian medaka). Lineage: Eukaryota; Metazoa; Chordata; Actinopteri; Beloniformes; Adrianichthyidae. The record is from RNAcentral.
AUUUACAGCCUUGCCACCCCUGAACACACCUAAUCUCGGAAAAACAGCAGGACUGAGUCUGGAUUUUUCUUGGAUGGGAGUCUGCCUGGAACUACCUGGUGCUGUGAGUU